UUGGAGGGCAAGUCUGGUGCCAGCAGCCGCGGUAAUUCCAGCUCCAAUAGCGUAUAUUAAAGUUGUUGCAGUUAAAAAGCUCGUAGUUGAAUUUCGGGAUCAAGGGAUCGGUCAUGCCUUGGUAUGUACUGGUUUUAUUGGUUCUCACCUUCUAAAGAACCAUGAUGUCAUUCAUUUGAUGUUAUGGGGAAUUAGGACUGUUACCUUGAAAAAUUAGAGUGUUUAAAGCAAGCUUACGCUUGAAUACAUUAGCAUGGAAUAAUGAAAUAGGACAUCAGAUUCUAUUUUGUUGGUUUCUAGGAUCGAUGUAAUGAUUAAUAGGGAUAGUUGGGGGCAUUAGUAUUCAAUUGUCAGAGGUGAAAUUCUUGGAUUUAUUGAAGACUAACUACUGCGAAAGCAUUUGCCAAGGAUGUUUUCAUUAAUCAAGAACGAAAGUUAGGGGAUCGAAGACGAUCAGAUACCGUCGUAGUCUUAACCAUAAACUAUGCCGACUAGGGAUCGGAUGAUGUUAAUUUUUAAUGACUCA
Molecule: ribosomal RNA, 526 nt
Filed under: uncultured Glomeraceae
Lineage: Eukaryota; Fungi; Glomeromycota; Glomeromycetes; Glomerales; Glomeraceae
Description: SSU rRNA
Rfam family: Eukaryotic small subunit ribosomal RNA
Source: RNAcentral